RNAcentral lists this ribosomal RNA (429 nucleotides) under Acidobacteriota bacterium. Its description in RNAcentral is "Acidobacteria bacterium partial 16S ribosomal RNA". It matches the Rfam family "Bacterial small subunit ribosomal RNA", at positions 355 to 776 of the family's 1533-position model. Lineage: Bacteria; Pseudomonadati; Acidobacteriota. The record is from RNAcentral.
UGGGGAAUAUUGGACAAUGGGGGAAACCCUGAUCCAGCCAUCCCGCGUGUGCGAUGAAGGCCUUCGGGUUGUAAAGCACUUUUGGCAGGAAAGAAACGUCAUGGGUUAAUACCCCGUGAAACUGACGGUACCUGCAGAAUAAGCACCGGCUAACUACGUGCCAGCAGCCGCGGUAAUACGUAGGGUGCAAGCGUUAAUCGGAAUUACUGGGCGUAAAGCGUGCGCAGGCGGUUCGGAAAGAAAGAUGUGAAAUCCCAGAGCUCAACUUUGGAACUGCAUUUUGAACUAGCGGGCUAGAGUGUGUCAGAGGGAGGUGGAAUUCCGCGUGUAGCAGUGAAAUGCGUAGAUAUGCGGAGGAACACCGAUGGCGAAGGCAGCCUCCUGGGAUAACACUGACGCUCAUGCACGAAAGCGUGGGGAGCAAACAGG